GAUGAACGCUGGCGGCGUGCCUAAUACAUGCAAGUCGAGCGAACAGACGAGGAGCUUACUCCUCGGACGUUAGCGGCGGACGGGUGAGUAACACGUGGAUAACCUACCUAUAAGACUGGGAUAACUUCGGGAAACCGGAGCUAAUACCGGAUAACAUGUUGAACCGCAUGGUGCAACGGUGAAAGACGGUCUUGCUGUCACUUAUAGAUGGAUCCGCGUCGCAUUAGCUAGUUGGUAAGGUAACGGCUUACCAAGGCAACGAUGCGUAGACGACCUGAGAGAGUGAUCGGCCACAUGGGAGGGGAGCCACGGUCAAGAGUCCUACGGGAGGCAGCAGUCGGGAAUCUUACGCAAUGGGCGAAAGCAUGGCGGAGCGACGCCGCGUGAGUGAAGACGGUCUUCGGAUCGUAAUACUGUGUUACUAGGGAAGAACAAAUGUGUAAGUAAAUAUGCCCGUAUUGACGGUAAUUAAUCAGAAAGCAACGGCUAACUACGUG
Molecule: ribosomal RNA, 497 nt
Filed under: uncultured bacterium
Lineage: Bacteria
Description: partial 16S ribosomal RNA
Rfam family: Bacterial small subunit ribosomal RNA
Source: RNAcentral